RNAcentral lists this ribosomal RNA (468 nucleotides) under uncultured bacterium. RNAcentral's name for it is "partial 16S ribosomal RNA". It matches the Rfam family "Bacterial small subunit ribosomal RNA", at positions 28 to 507 of the family's 1533-position model. The record is from RNAcentral.
GACGAACGCUGGCGGCGUGCUUAGCACAUGCAAGUCGAACGGAAAGGCCCUGCUUUUGUGGGGUGCUCGAGUGGCGAACGGGUGAGUAACACGUGAGUAACCUGCCCUUGACUUUGGGAUAACUUCAGGAAACUGGGGCUAAUACCGGAUAGGAGCUCCUGCUGCAUGGUGGGGGUUGGAAAGUUUCGGCGGUUGGGGAUGGACUCGCGGCUUAUCAGCUUGUUGGUGGGGUAGUGGCUUACCAAGGCUUUGACGGGUAGCCGGCCUGAGAGGGUGACCGGCCACAUUGGGACUGAGAUGCGGCACAGACUCCUACGGGAGGCAGCAGUGGGGAAUAUUGCACAAUGGGCGGAAGCCUUAUGCAGCAACGCCGCGUGCGGGAUGACGGCCUUCGGGUUGUAAACCGCUUUCGCCUGUGACGAAGCGUGAGUGACGGUAAUGGGUAAAGAAGCACCGGCUAACUACGUG